UAAUACAGAGGGGGCCAGCGUUAUUCGGAAUUAUUGGGCGUAAAGGGCGCGUAGGCGGCCAUGCGUGUCUUCCGUGAAAUCCCUCGGCUCAACCGAGGACGUGCGGAAGAAACUGCAAGGCUCGAGUCCGGAAGAGGGGGGCGGAAUUCCCAGUGUAGCGGUGAAAUGCGUAGAUAUUGGGAGGAACACCAGUGGCGAAGGCGGUCCCCUGGGCCGGAACUGACGCUGAGGCGCGAAAGCGUGGGUAGCAAACGGGAUUAGAUACCCCGGUAGUCCACGCCGUAAACGAUGGGCACUUGGUGUCGCGGGUAUCGACCCCUGCGGUGCCGAAGCUAACGCAUUAAGUGCCCCGCCUGGGGAGUACGGUCGCAAGGCUG
Molecule: ribosomal RNA, 377 nt
Filed under: uncultured bacterium
Lineage: Bacteria
Description: bacterial SSU rRNA
Rfam family: Bacterial small subunit ribosomal RNA
Source: RNAcentral